GACGAACGCUGGCGGCGUGCUUAACACAUGCAAGUCGAACGCUGAACCCGCUUCGGUGGGGGAUGAGUGGCGAACGGGUGAGUAACACGUGGGCAACCUGCCCCCGGCUCUGGGAUAACUCCAAGAAAUUGGGGCUAAUACCGGAUGUGACCGCUGGCCGCAUGGUCUGGUGGUGGAAAGGGUUUCCGGCUGGGGAUGGGCCCGCGGCCUAUCAGCUUGUUGGUGGGGUAGUGGCCUACCAAGGCGACGACGGGUAGCCGGCCUGGGAGGGUGACCGGCCACACUGGGACUGAGACACGGCCCAGACUCCUACGGGAGGCAGCAGUGGGGAAUAUUGCGCAAUGGGCGGAAGCCUGACGCAGCGGCGCCGCGUGGGGGAUGACGGCCUUCGGGUUGUAAACCUCUUUCAGCAGGGACGAAGCGCAAGUGACGGUACCUGCAGAAGAAGCACCGGCCAACUACGUG
This 465-nucleotide ribosomal RNA is filed under the name uncultured bacterium. Its description in RNAcentral is "partial 16S ribosomal RNA". It matches the Rfam family "Bacterial small subunit ribosomal RNA", at positions 28 to 507 of the family's 1533-position model. The record is from RNAcentral.